RNAcentral lists this ribosomal RNA (491 nucleotides) under uncultured bacterium. RNAcentral's name for it is "partial 16S ribosomal RNA". It matches the Rfam family "Bacterial small subunit ribosomal RNA", at positions 29 to 507 of the family's 1533-position model. The record is from RNAcentral.
AGUGAACGCUGGCGGUAGGCCUAACACAUGCAAGUCGAACGGCAGCACAGUAAGAGCUUGCUCUUACGGGUGGCGAGUGGCGGACGGGUGAGGAAUACAUCGGAAUCUACUUUUUCGUGGGGGAUAACGUAGGGAAACUUACGCUAAUACCGCAUACGACCUACGGGUGAAAGCAGGGGAUCUUCGGACCUUGCGCGAUUGAAUGAGCCGAUGUCGGAUUAGCUAGUUGGCGGGGUAAAGGCCCACCAAGGCGACGAUCCGUAGCUGGUCUGAGAGGGUGAUCAGCCACACUGGAACUGAGAGACGGUCCAGACUCCUACGGGAGGCAGCAGUGGGGAAGAUUGACAAUGGGCGCAAGCCUGAUCCAGCCAUACCGCGUGGGUGAAGAAGGCCUUCGGGUUGUAAAGCCCUUUUGUUGGGAAAGAAAAGCAGCAGGUUAAUACCCCGCUGUUCUGACGGUACCCAAAGAAUAAGCACCGGCUAACUUCGUG